UGGAUAAACUCUACGUCUUGAAGGAUUUGUAAGAAAUGUUCGAGGGAAUUGACUUAGUGUUAAACACGAGCCAGUGUCCUCAAACAUUUCUUACAAAUCCUUCAAAACUUAGAAUUUACCUA
This is a non-coding RNA of Paramuricea clavata, 122 nucleotides long. Lineage: Eukaryota; Metazoa; Cnidaria; Anthozoa; Malacalcyonacea; Plexauridae. The record is from the annotation of a GenBank genome assembly.